RNAcentral lists this long non-coding RNA (265 nucleotides) under Ornithorhynchus anatinus (platypus). RNAcentral's name for it is "lncRNA (ENSOANG00000041205.1)". Lineage: Eukaryota; Metazoa; Chordata; Mammalia; Monotremata; Ornithorhynchidae. The record is from RNAcentral.
AAGGGAUUUAGCUUUAAAUCAGUUUGUUUGCUCUAGUGUUUUAUUAGCAUAUCCUGUUUUAGUUUUUCAGAGCUGGCUUCAGACAUCUGGCCCCCUUCUUGUGUUCCAUGCCACAUCAUAAUGUUGUGCUGUGACCAUACUGUUCAGUAGACACCAACAUGUCACACUGCUUUGCACACACAUUGCUCUGUGUGAGCAAAAGAGAAUGAUGCCUUAUGGAAGCCUAUUCAAAUCCCUGACGCUGGAACCUUUAUCCAGGCACUAG